This 253-nucleotide ribosomal RNA is filed under the name uncultured bacterium. RNAcentral describes it as "partial 16S ribosomal RNA". It matches the Rfam family "Bacterial small subunit ribosomal RNA", at positions 524 to 776 of the family's 1533-position model. The record is from RNAcentral.
UACGUAGGGUGCAAGCGUUGUCCGGAAUUAUUGGGCGUAAAGAGCUCGUAGGCGGUUUGUCGCGUCGGCUGUGAAAUCCCGAGGCUCAACCUCGGGCCUGCAGUCGAUACGGGCAAACUAGAGUGCGGUAGGGGAGACUGGAAUUCCUGGUGUAGCGGUGAAAUGCGCAGAUAUCAGGAGGAACACCGGCGGCGAAGGCGGGUCUCUGGGCCGUAACUGACGCUGAGGAGCGAAAGCGUGGGGAGCGAACAGG